AUACAGGUGGUGCAUGGUUGUCGUCAGCUCGUGUCGUGAGAUGUUGGGUUAAGUCCCGCAACGAGCGCAACCCUUGUCUUUAGUUACCAUCAUUAAGUUGGGGACUCUAGAGAGACUGCCGGUGAUAAACCGGAGGAAGGUGGGGGAUGACGUCAAAUCAUCAUGCCCCUUAUGGCCUGGGCUACAAACGUAAUACAAUGGCGUAUACAAAGGGAUGCGAAAGGGCGACCUGGAGCAAAACUCACAAAGUACGUCUCAGUUCAGAUCGGAGUCUGCAACUCGACUCCAUGAAGGCGGAAUCGCUAGUAAUCGCGGAUCAGCAUGCCGCGGUGAAUACGUUCUCGGGUUU
Molecule: ribosomal RNA, 349 nt
Filed under: uncultured Erysipelothrix sp.
Lineage: Bacteria; Bacillati; Bacillota; Erysipelotrichia; Erysipelotrichales; Erysipelotrichaceae
Description: bacterial SSU rRNA
Rfam family: Bacterial small subunit ribosomal RNA
Source: RNAcentral